CACCGGCGGCCCGAGUGGUGAUCGGAAUCACUGGGCGUAAAGCGCUCGUAGGUUGCUUUGUAAGUCAGGUGUGAAAUCCCACGGCUCAACCGUGGAAUUGCACUUGAUACUGCAUUGCUUGAGUUCGGGAGAGGGUAGUGGAAUUCCAGGUGUAGGAGUGAAAUCCGUAGAGAUCUGGAGGAACACCGGUGGCGAAGGCGACUACCUGGACCGAUACUGACACUGAGGAGCGAAAGCGUGGGGAGCAAAC
RNAcentral lists this ribosomal RNA (250 nucleotides) under uncultured bacterium. Its description in RNAcentral is "partial 16S ribosomal RNA". It matches the Rfam family "Bacterial small subunit ribosomal RNA", at positions 524 to 773 of the family's 1533-position model. The record is from RNAcentral. RNAcentral also lists the same sequence under 1 other name.